GAUGAACGCUGGCGGCGUGCCUAAUACAUGCAAGUCGAACGCUGGAAAUCUAGCUUGCUAGAUUGAAGGAGUGGCGAACGGGUGAGUAAUACAUAAGCAACCUACCCACGAAGACUGGGAUAAUCUCUGGAAACGGGGACUAAUACCGGAUAGGUAAUCGGAAGGCAUCUUCUGAUUAUUAAAGGUUAAAAACACUGGUGGAUGGGCUUAUGGCGCAUUAGUUAGUUGGUGAGGUAACGGCCCACCAAGACGAUGAUGCGUAGCCGGCCUGAGAGGGUGAACGGCCACAUUGGGACUGAGGCACGGCCCAGACUCCUACGGGAGGCAGCAGUAGGGAAUUUUCGGCAAUGGGGGAAACCCUGACCGAGCAACGCCGCGUGAGUGAUGACGGCCUUCGGGUUGUAAAGCUCUGUUGUAAGGGAAGAACGGUAGAUAGAGAAUAUCUAAAUGACGGUACCUUACCAGAAAGCCACGGCUAACUACGUG
RNAcentral lists this ribosomal RNA (486 nucleotides) under uncultured bacterium. RNAcentral's name for it is "partial 16S ribosomal RNA". It matches the Rfam family "Bacterial small subunit ribosomal RNA", at positions 28 to 507 of the family's 1533-position model. The record is from RNAcentral.